This 325-nucleotide ribosomal RNA is filed under the name uncultured eukaryote. RNAcentral's name for it is "partial 18S ribosomal RNA". It matches the Rfam family "Eukaryotic small subunit ribosomal RNA", at positions 1470 to 1796 of the family's 1831-position model. The record is from RNAcentral.
CCCUUAGAUGUCCUGGGCCGCACGCGCGCUACACUGAUGCAUUCAACGAGUUUUACCUUGGCCGAGAGGCCUGGGCAAUCUUUUAAACCUGCAUCGUGAUAGGGAUAGAUUAUUGCAAUUAUUAAUCUUGAACGAGGAAUUCCUAGUAAACGCAGAUCAUCAAUCUGCAUUGAUUACGUCCCCGCCCUUUGUACACACCGCCCGUCGCACCUACCGAUUGAAUGGUCCGGUGAAGCCUCGGGAUUGUGGCCAGUUCACUUUAUUGGGAGUUGGCUGCGAGAACUUGUCUAAACCUUAUCAUUUAGAGGAAGGUGAAGUCGUAACA